GAUGAACGCUGGCGGCGUGCUUAACACAUGCCAGUCGAACGGAAAGGCCCAAGCUUGCUUGGGUACUCGAGUGGCGAACCGGUGAGUAACACGUGGGUGAUCUGCCCUGCACUUCGGGAUAAGCCUGGGAAACUGGGUCUAAUACCGGAUAGGACGAUGGUUUGGAUGCCAUUGUGGAAAGUUUUUUCGGUGUGGGAUGAGCUCGCGGCCUAUCAGCUUGUUGGUGGGGUAAUGGCCUACCAAGGCGUCGACGGGUAGCCGGCCUGAGAGGGUGUACGGCCACAUUUGGACUGAGAUACGGCCCAGACUCCUACGGGAGGCAGCAGUGGGGAAUAUUGCACAAUGGGCGCAAGCCUGAUGCAGCGACGCCGCGUGGGGGAUGACGGCCUUCGGGUUGUAAACUCCUUUCGCUAGGGACGAAGCGUUUUUGUGACGGUACCUGGAGAAGAAGCACCGGCUAACUACGUG
This 468-nucleotide ribosomal RNA is filed under the name uncultured bacterium. RNAcentral describes it as "partial 16S ribosomal RNA". It matches the Rfam family "Bacterial small subunit ribosomal RNA", at positions 28 to 507 of the family's 1533-position model. The record is from RNAcentral.